This is an unclassified non-coding RNA of Papio anubis (olive baboon), 148 nucleotides long. It matches the Rfam family "Metazoan signal recognition particle RNA". Rfam says of the family: The signal recognition particle (SRP) is a universally conserved ribonucleoprotein. It is involved in the co-translational targeting of proteins to membranes. The eukaryotic SRP consists of a 300-nucleotide 7S RNA and six proteins: SRPs 72, 68, 54, 19, 14, and 9. Lineage: Eukaryota; Metazoa; Chordata; Mammalia; Primates; Cercopithecidae. The record is from Ensembl.
GCUGGGUGUGGUAGUGCACACCUGUAAUCCCAGCUACUCUGGAGGCUGAGGCAGGAGAAUCACUUGAACCCGGGAGGCGGAGAUUGCUAUGAGCUGAGAUCAUGCCAUUGUACUCCAGUCUGGGUGACAGAGUGAGACCCUGUCUCAA